CCUGGUUGAUCCUGCCAGUAGUCAUAUGCUUGUCUCAAAGAUUAAGCCAUGCAUGUGUAAGCACACACUGUUUUAAAAGUGAAGCCGCGAAUGGCUCAUUACAACAGCCACAGUUUAUUAGAACUUACAAUCAUGGAUAACUGUGGUAAUUCUAGAGCUAAUACACGCACAAAAACUUCAACUGAAUUGGUUGAAGUGCUUUUAUUAGAACAAAAACCGAACGGCGUUUGGCGAAUGUUGAACGUCGAAACUGUUUGGUGAAUCUGAAUAACUAUUUCUGAUCGCAUGGUCUAGCACCGGCGACAUCACUUUCAAGUGUCUGCCUUAUCAACCUUCGAUGGUAGUCUAUGCGACUACCAUGGUGAUAACGGGUAACGGAGAAUCAGGGUUCGACUCCGGAGAGGGAGCCUGAGAAACGGCUACCACAUCCAAGGAAGGCAGCAGGCGCGCAAAUUACCCACUCCCAGCUUGGGGAGGUAGUGACGAAAAAUAACGAGACGAUUCUCGUUUGAGAAACGUUAUCGAAAUGAGUACGCUUUACACACGCUAACGAGUAGCAAUUGGAGGGCAAGUCUGGUGCCAGCAGCCGCGGUAAUUCCAGCUCCAAUAGCGUAUAUUAAAGUUGCUGCGGUUAAAACGCUCGUAGUUGAAUUGUGGUCUUAGACAACAGUCCCCCUACAUAGGUGUGGCACGGUUGCUCGAGAUCUUCAUUCGUGGUUGCUGUUGUUGCUCUUCAUUGAGUGUCAAUGGUGCCUCGAGAUUUUACUUUGAAAAAUUAGAGUGCUCAAAGCAGGUUGUGAUGCCUGAAUAAUGGUGCAUGGAAUAAUAGAAUACGAUCUCGGUUCUAUUUUGUUGGUUUUCGAACCGGAGAUAAUGAUUGAAAGGAACAGACGGGGGCAUUCGUAUUGCUGCGUUAGAGGUGAAAUUCUUGGAUCGCAGCAAGAUGAACAAUUGCGAAAGCAUUUGCCAAGAAUGUUUUCAUUAAUCAAGAACGAAAGUUAGAGGUUCGAAGGCGAUCAGAUACCGCCCUAGUUCUAACGGUAAACUAUGCCAACCAGCGAUUCGCCGAAGUUCAUUUAAGACUCGGCGAGCAGCUUCCGGGAAACCAAAGUGUUUCGGUUCCGGGGGAAGUAUGGUUGCAAAGCUGAAACUUAAAGGAAUUGACGGAAGGGCACCACCAGGAGUGGAGCCUGCGGCUUAAUUUGACUCAACACGGGAAAACUCACCCGGCCCGGACACUGGAAGGAUUGACAGAUUGACAGCUCUUUCUUGAUUCAGUGGGUAGUGGUGCAUGGCCGUUCUUAGUUGGUGGAGCGAUUUGUCUGGUUAAUUCCGAUAACGAACGAGACUCUACCCUAUUAAAUAGUGACAGUAUUGUAUUUUUUGUGCUGAUCACUUCUUAGAGGGACUGGCAAAUUGAAAGCUGCACGAAAAAGAGCAAUAACAGGUCUGUGAUGCCCUUCGAUGUCCGGGGCUGCACGCGCGCUACAAUGAAAGCGUCAACGUGAGUUACGUCCUUACCUGAAAAGGUUUGGCAAUCGAAUGAAACGUUUUCUUGAAUGGAAUAGGGAAUUGCAAUUGUUUCCCUUGAACGAGGAAUUCCCAGUAAGCGUGAGUCAUUAGCUCGCGUUGAUUACGUCCCUGCCCUUUGUACACACCGCCCGUCGCUACUACCGAUUGGAUGAUUUAGUGAGGUGUUUUGACUGGCGCCAGUAGUCGGAUGUAUUCGGCUUCGCGCCGGGAAAUUUCCCAAACCAAAUCAUCUAGAGGAAGUAAAAGUCGUAACAAGGUUUCCGUAGGUGAACCUGCGGAAG
Molecule: ribosomal RNA, 1814 nt
Filed under: Trichinella murrelli
Lineage: Eukaryota; Metazoa; Nematoda; Enoplea; Trichinellida; Trichinellidae
Description: SSU rRNA
Rfam family: Eukaryotic small subunit ribosomal RNA
Source: RNAcentral